GGGAAGUUUUGGACAAUGGGCGCAAGCCUGAUCCAGCCAUGCCGCGUGAGUGAAGAAGGCCUUCGGGUUGUAAAGCUCUUUCGGCCGGGAAGAAAUCGGUGGUCUCUAACAUAGGCCAUGGAUGACGGUACCGGACUAAGAAGCACCGGCUAACUACGUGCC
This 162-nucleotide ribosomal RNA is filed under the name uncultured bacterium. RNAcentral describes it as "partial 16S ribosomal RNA". It matches the Rfam family "Bacterial small subunit ribosomal RNA", at positions 356 to 509 of the family's 1533-position model. The record is from RNAcentral.